AAGGAGAGUUGAGAGUAGUGAAUCAGGAUAAGGUUGUGGUUAAUGAGAGGUUCGCGGACGAUGAUGGAGGAAGGACGGGUUUGGCCGGCGCGGUUUGGGUGUGGAUUCGCCGGCGGAUGUUGAUGUUGAUGGUGGAUUUAGGGGUUGGUCGUGUGGUGGUGUCGGAGGGUUUUGAUGGUGGAGAUUUAUGAGGGUUUCGUGGUGGUAGAUCAGAGAGAAAAAGGGUCGCUCGCCGGAGAGAGAUGAAAACGAAGGAGCUUUUUUUAAUUUCUUUUCUUUUCGUUUGCUUUUUCUUUUCGUGAGUGAAAGGGUGAGGGAGCAGAGUGGUUUCUACGGUGGGUUUGAGCGUGAGGUGGAUGGUGUGAGCGGUGGUGGAAAGAGAGCGACGUGAGGUUGUUUGAAGUGUGUGGGAAAGAAGAAGAAGUUUUUUUUAUUAAUUCUUCUCUUUUCUUUCAGAGUGUGUAGUUGAAUAGUGAGAGAAGAGAGAUAGUAAUUUUGUUGAGAGAAACGUGUGUGAGACGUGUGGAGAUCUUGAGGGGUGAGU
Molecule: long non-coding RNA, 544 nt
Filed under: Lathyrus oleraceus (garden pea)
Lineage: Eukaryota; Viridiplantae; Streptophyta; Magnoliopsida; Fabales; Fabaceae
Description: Pisum sativum (pea) long non-coding RNA (PSAT_LNC017526)
Source: RNAcentral